RNAcentral lists this transfer RNA (87 nucleotides) under Kiritimatiellia bacterium. RNAcentral describes it as "Kiritimatiellae bacterium (gut metagenome) tRNA-Leu". It matches the Rfam family "tRNA". From Rfam's summary of the family: Transfer RNA (tRNA) molecules are approximately 80 nucleotides in length. Their secondary structure includes four short double-helical elements and three loops (D, anti-codon, and T loops). Further hydrogen bonds mediate the characteristic L-shaped molecular structure. tRNAs have two regions of fundamental functional importance: the anti-codon, which is responsible for specific mRNA codon recognition, and the 3' end, to which the tRNAs corresponding amino acid is attached (by aminoacyl-tRNA synthetases). tRNAs cope with the degeneracy of the genetic code in two manners: having more than one tRNA (with a specific anti-codon) for a particular amino acid; and 'wobble' base-pairing, i.e. permitting non-standard base-pairing at the 3rd anti-codon position. Lineage: Bacteria; Pseudomonadati; Kiritimatiellota; Kiritimatiellia. The record is from RNAcentral.
GCCUAGGUGGCGAAAUCGGCAGACGCAAGGGACUUAAAAUCCCUUGGUGGAAACACCGUAUGGGUUCAAGUCCCAACCUAGGCACCA